Molecule: ribosomal RNA, 523 nt
Filed under: Haemophilus influenzae
Lineage: Bacteria; Pseudomonadati; Pseudomonadota; Gammaproteobacteria; Pasteurellales; Pasteurellaceae
Description: bacterial SSU rRNA
Rfam family: Bacterial small subunit ribosomal RNA
Source: RNAcentral
AUACCCUGGUAGUCCACGCUGUAAACGCUGUCGAUUUGGGGGUUGGGGUUUAACUCUGGCGCCCGUAGCUAACGUGAUAAAUCGACCGCCUGGGGAGUACGGCCGCAAGGUUAAAACUCAAAUGAAUUGACGGGGGCCCGCACAAGCGGUGGAGCAUGUGGUUUAAUUCGAUGCAACGCGAAGAACCUUACCUACUCUUGACAUCCUAAGAAGUUUGCAGAGAUGCGAAUGUGCCUUCGGGAACUUAGAGACAGGUGCUGCAUGCUGUCGUCAGCUCGUGUUGUGAAAUGUUGGGUUAAGUCCCGCAACGAGCGCAACCCUUAUCCUUUGUUGCCAGCGAUACGGUCGGGAACUCAAAGGAGACUGCCAGUGAUAAACUGGAGGAAGGUGGGGAUGACGUCAGUCAUCAUGGCCCUUACGAGUAGGGCUACACACGUGCUACAAUGGCGUAUACAGAGGGAAGCGAAGCUGCGAGGUGGAGCGAAUCUCAUAAAGUACGUCUAAGUCCGGAUUGGAGUCUGCA